This 496-nucleotide ribosomal RNA is filed under the name uncultured bacterium. Its description in RNAcentral is "partial 16S ribosomal RNA". It matches the Rfam family "Bacterial small subunit ribosomal RNA", at positions 28 to 506 of the family's 1533-position model. The record is from RNAcentral.
GAUGAACGCUGGCGGCGUGCCUAAUACAUGCAAGUCGAGCGAACAGACGAGGAGCUUGCUCCUCUGGCGUUAGCGGCGGACAGGUGAGUAACACGUGGAUAACCUACCUAUAAGACUGGGAUAACUUCGGGAAACCGGAGCUAAUACCGGAUAAUAUAUUGAACCGCAUGGUUCAAUAGUGAAAGACGGUUUUGCUGUCACUUAUAGAUGGAUCCGCGCCGCAUUAGCUAGUUGGUAAGGUAACGGCUUACCAAGGCAACGAUGCGUAGCCGACCUGAGAGGGUGAUCGGCCACACUGGAGCUGAGACACGGUCCAGACUCCUACGGGAGGCAGCAGUAGGGAAUCUUCCGCAAUGGGCGAAAGCUUGACGGAGCAACGCCGCGUGAGUGAUGAAGGUCUUCGGAUCGUAAAACUCUGUUAUUAGGGAAGAACAAAUGUGUAAGUAACUAUGCACGUCUUGACGGUACCUAAUCAGAAAGCCACGGCUAACUACGU